GAUGAACGCUAGCGGCAGGCCUAACACAUGCAAGUCGAGGGGUAGCAGGGUUAAGCUUGCUUAAUUGCUGACGACCGGCGCACGGGUGCGUAACGCGUAUGCAACCUACCUUAUACUGGGGUAUAGCCCGGAGAAAUUCGGAUUAAUCCCCCAUAGUACUAAUGAAUCGCAUGGUUUAUUAGCUAAAGCAUUGCGGUAUAAGAUGGGCAUGCGUCCUAUUAGCUAGAUGGUGAGGUAACGGCUCACCAUGGCUACGAUAGGUAGGGGGCCUGAGAGGGUGGUCCCCCACACUGGUACUGAGACACGGACCAGACUCCUACGGGAGGCAGCAGUGAGGAAUAUUGGUCAAUGGGCGCAAGCCUGAACCAGCCAUGCCGCGUGCAGGAAGAAUGCCCUAUGGGUUGUAAACUGCUUUUAUUUGGGAAUAAACCUCUUUACGUGUAGAGAGCUGAAGGUACCAAAUGAAUAAGCACCGGCUAACUCCGUGCCAGCAGCCGCGGUAA
This 503-nucleotide ribosomal RNA is filed under the name uncultured bacterium. Its description in RNAcentral is "partial 16S ribosomal RNA". It matches the Rfam family "Bacterial small subunit ribosomal RNA", at positions 28 to 523 of the family's 1533-position model. The record is from RNAcentral.